GAUGAACGUUGGCGGUGUGCCUAAUACAUGCAAGUCGAACGAUUAAAGCCCCUUCGGGGGUGUAUAGAGUGGCGAACGGGUGAGUAACACGUGGGCAACCUGCCCUGCGCUUCGGGAUAACUCAGGGAAACCUGAGCUAAUACCGGAUACUCCGCGAGGAUCGCAUGGUCCUUUCGGGAAAGUUCCGGCGGCGCAGGAUGGGCCCGCGGCCCAUUAGCUUGUUGGUGAGGUAACGGCUCACCAAGGCAACGAUGGGUAGCCGAGCUGAGAGGCUGAUCGGCCACACUGGGACUGAGACACGGCCCAGACUCCUACGGGUGGCUG
RNAcentral lists this ribosomal RNA (324 nucleotides) under uncultured Actinomycetes bacterium. RNAcentral describes it as "bacterial SSU rRNA". It matches the Rfam family "Bacterial small subunit ribosomal RNA", at positions 28 to 351 of the family's 1533-position model. Lineage: Bacteria; Bacillati; Actinomycetota; Actinomycetes. The record is from RNAcentral.